AGAUUUCCCAGUUGCUGACUCAUAUCCUUGGAGGAGAAGCACCAUGUACUGUUGGGACUACGCUACGAACACAACUUGGCCUGGCUACUUUGAGUUCACGCUUUUAUUUCUUCCUUACACUCUAAUAAAAAAAAUUGCCCUGGAGAUGCCUUCUGAAUAAUGACAGAUCACCCGUGCAGUCACAGCGGUCGCAGUCACAGGUAUUAGUGAUCUUCUGAACUGUUAUCUCUGUUUUCAAGCCUCAGAAAGUCCAGACAAGAGAAUAUGUGCACCUUUCAUUAACACAAGAAGAGAUCAAGAGCUUCAAAACCAGCUGCUUUGGCUAAGUCAUCAGGAGCUCACAUGGACCAAACCAACAUCUCGGGCAAAGAAAAAGAAAAGAAGUCUGAAUUAAGAAAUAGGAAAACAACUGCCAAACCUCUAUACUUCAUGCAUGCUAAGAACAUGGAAUUGUGAAAACGUGAUCCUGUCUCUUCAGCAGAAAUAUAUGUGGGGCUUUAUCACACGAGGAAAAUGCCAUGAGAAAAAUGCACCAAGUUUAAUAAGGCAACCACCAGUUCACAGAUUAUUUUUAAUGUUUCUCUGUGUGAAAGCUUCAUUCCAGAAAUUUCAGCAAAGAAUGGAUUAAUCUUGGAAAAGACUGUCCAAAAUGAUGUUUUUUUUAAUUAAGAUGUGCUCUCCUGCUCCAUCUCAGUAUUUAUGACAAAAACAGCAUCAGAUGAAACACUUCUUCCCCUACCAGAUGAAGACGACAAAUGGCAAAUCUUCCUUGCCCUAUCACUGAAGAAAUAUGGCAAGCAAAAUUUAUUAGUGCCACGAGGGCUACUAAUUCCAUACCUUCUAGGCUACUGCGCUCUGUUCAGCGUGACGCAUGCAAGGCAAGCGCGCAGCACCUGCCCUCCCAGAGGGACCCGGGCAGACAACCUGCAGUCCCUCAUCCCAGCUCCAACGCGCCACAGCCCUGUGGCACCUUCCGGGUCCUCCUGUUUGCUGCGAUUUGAGCCAACAGCAGGGUUUCAGCUUUACACGUGGGACAGCAGGCACCCAGAUGCCGCCACAGGAAAAAUGCUGCUGCAGGGGAAGCGUCCUGCUCCUCACGCAGCCCUCUCGGGUGAUGCCUUCGGUACGACUUGCCUGAUCAACGUCAGGAUCCAAGGCGGCGCAGACACGCAGACGUCCCCGCCUGCCCCUGCCCAGCUGCGGGCAAGGGCCUGCCAGGCGACGUGGGGCUCACAGGCUGGCGUAGCCGGGGGCUGCUCCGCCUGCAGGGCCUGGGGAAGGGGCAGCCCUGGGCUCGCGAGAGCGGCGGGGACGCAAGCAGGACUCUUCCAGCCCACAGAGCACCUCGCCCUGCUGGGAGCCACAGUGCCUCUCCAGAUACCUGCAUGAAGGGAUCAGCGAGCAAAAACGCACUGCCAGCAGGCAGAGGAGGCUGUGGUGCUUUCCGCCACACGAGUGGUGAAGUGCGAACGGAAGAGAUGAAUCACAGCUCAACGUGGGCAUCUGUUUGGGGAAAUGCAUUUAGUCUGAUGCCUAGAUACCUGCAUUUAGUCAGAUGAGUCACACCCUGUUGUUUUGAAAUCAUUAAUUUGAACCGAUUUUGAUGCAAACAGGACAGACAACAUUGGCUGUCAAGACAAAGCUCCUCUGAACUGACUGUGGGACUUGCUAUUCACUUCCUGCAUUUUUUGAUCAUGACUUCAGGAAACGCAGGCCCCAACGAUGGCCAGAGCAGAACAGGUCUGCGGGCUGCAGCCAGAAAGGGUCCUCGCUGUGGCACCACGAAGAGGCGACGGGACAGAGCUUCAGCAGCUCUUUAAACAGCACAGGCCUCCAAGGCCAAAUGGUGUUUCUCACUGGAAUAUCCAAUUUUUGCAUAUAGAUGCCCAAACAUUUUUAUAUAAUUUGAGAGAAAAUAAUACUGACUUUAAAUUAGAAUGAUAUUAAGCCUUCUACCUGACAGCUUGGUCUGCUGCUUCGCCUUCAAGACUUUUUUUUGGACUUAUUUACAGAAGCCUGCAGGAGGCCUGCCAGGAGCACAGGAACAGCGGCUGCGCAGAGUCACCCCCUCUGGAGAUACUGCCCCAGGCCACAAAGACCAAGUUCAGCAAGGAUUUUUUUUUGUAUUGCAUCAACUUGCUCCUGUCCUGUCCCCACAGCUUUAACAGAACUAAAUACUAAAUGCAAUGGGAAAUAUGCCUGAAGGAUUUUUAUUUUUUAUCUUUUUACCCUGAACAACAUAAAAUUAAAACAGUAAAUGAUUAAAGAAGCAGAUAGCUUAUUAUAAAGCUGUUACAGGACACUGAAAUUAAAUAGUUUUUCUAGCCUCUUUACAAGCUACCUGCAGGAGCAACAGCAGGGAAUUAUCAAUGGCUGAUAUUUGGCCUUUACUCUUCUUACUGAGAGUUUGGAAGCAAGAGGGAUGAAUUUCUUCCUAACCAGACUGCAUUGGAAGGAGGCUUACACUGGAGACAUAUCCAUUUUAAAUUAAUUGAUUUAAAAAGCCAUUUUCCCGUAGGGUUGUUAUCUUGCUUUGAAAGUGAACCAACACCAAAUACAUUUUAAUACAGUUUAGUAUACAACCACUGAUGAUUUGUGCUGCUGUAAUUAGAGCCUUCCAAGGCUUCUCACCUUCUUAAAACAACAGUUCCUUUUAAGAGGCCAGCAAGCUUUUGCAUAUGUUUACACAGAGCCUAAAAUAAUAUUCCUUCAAAGCUUAAAAGAUGAGCAGGACAGGUUUAAGUGUGCAGCUGUACUACCUAGGAAAUGAAGCAAGUGACCUGAACUCAGCUCUAACUACACAGUCCUUCUCAUGGUGUUUACCAUGUUAAUGGCCUGUGACGAGAGAAGACUCCACAAUACACGCAUACAUAAAUAUACACACACAUAUAUAUAUUUAAAUGAAAUAAUCUCAUGAAACUUUGGAUCCUACAGGAUGCUGUUUCAUGACAAAAUGGGGUGAACAGCAACAUCAUCCUCUGAAAUCUUCAAAAAAUGUAUCUGUACAUGGAAAAAAAAACGUUAGGAGAAGGGAGGCCUCACCUGGGGUAAAGAUUCUGAGCAUGUUUACCACGGGCGGAACAAACUGAUAUAUGCACGCUUGUGUAGAGGAAACGGCACAUUAGUCAAUACUGCUCUGCGAAAGGGAGAGUCCUCCAUGAAUUUAUAGCUAGGCAUUAAAUACACAGAGAGGAGAUUUCUUUCUUACCUGAAGUUCUCUUUGACUGAUUUACAUCUUGAAGUACGAGCAACAGAUCCUGCCUCCUGCUCUGUCAUGUAUCCUGUUCAACUGCAUCGCUGUACUGACACUACCAGGCAAAAACACCACCAUGCAUUUUGCAGACGAAUGAGUCAUCCCACCACAACUUUGAACCGCAGCAAAUCUCACUUAAAUUUCAGAGGAGAACAGAAUUUGAUGCCUGUGCAAGGUGAUGCAUGCAGACAUUUAGGGACUGAAUUAAAUGGGUUUUUUUUUUUCCUUUUCUCAAAGAAAAAGACUGUAAUUCAUAAGAUAUUGAAUACAUCAGCAGGUUUUUAGCUGUUCUGUUUGAGACUACACUAAUGCAGUAUGAUGCGAUGGAUGGAGACCCCUUCUGCCCUCUGUGUUGGUGCAGAGCGCAUGCAGACCCCUUGCACGAAGGGGGACUGUGGCCCUCCUCUGCACGCCCAGAGCCCCGGACGACUCCAGCGGAGUCAAUGCAAGUGCCCAGGGGUGCUAAGAGCAUCCCAAUGGCACGUAGCCAAGGCCAGGGGAUGAGAACCGGGUGAGGAUACAGUACUAACGUGACUUGCCAUUUCCCCCGGAGCAACUGCACAUAGAAACAUAACCACAACGGAUUAAAGUUCCUGCUUCCAGCUCUUGAAGCAAA
Dromaius novaehollandiae (emu) is the source of this 3869-nucleotide long non-coding RNA. RefSeq lists it as uncharacterized. The transcript is spliced from 3 exons. NCBI's taxonomy places the organism in Eukaryota, Metazoa, Chordata, Aves, Casuariiformes, Dromaiidae. The record is from RefSeq and is a predicted model, not a curated record.